Molecule: ribosomal RNA, 466 nt
Filed under: uncultured bacterium
Lineage: Bacteria
Description: bacterial SSU rRNA
Rfam family: Bacterial small subunit ribosomal RNA
Source: RNAcentral
UCCCAGACUCCUACGGGAGGCAGCAGUGAGGAAUAUUGGUCAAUGGGCUUACGCCUGAACCAGCCAAGUCGCGUGAGGGAAGACUGCCCUAUGGGUUGUAAACCUCUUUUGUCAGGGAGCAACGCCGGCUACGUGUAGCCGGACUGAGAGUACCUGAAGAAAAAGCAUCGGCUAACUCCGUGCCAGCAGCCGCGGUAAUACGGAGGAUGCGAGCGUUAUCCGGAUUUAUUGGGUUUAAAGGGUGCGCAGGCGGAUUUUUAAGUCGGCGGUAAAAUCGUGGGGCUCAACCCCAUCCAGCCGUUGAAACUGGGGAUCUAGAGUGUGCGAGAGGUAUGCGGAAUGCGUGGUGUAGCGGUGAAAUGCAUAGAUAUCACGCAGAACUCCGAUUGCGAAGGCAGCGUACCGGCGCCCAACUGACGCUCAUGCACGAAAGCGUGGGUAUCGAACAGGAUUAGAUACCCGCGUA